CAUUUACAGUGGUUAAAUUUUGUUACCUUUGUGGCAAGCCUUUUCCAGUACUCAGUACUUGCCUACAAACCAGAGUCCCACUGUUCUUUGUCUUCGUUCUUUACGUAGGUGGUCAGGUUCAGGUAUCUUUCUGUUGUAAGUAGUAAUAAAGAGUCAGCACCCUUUCAAGUAGGCUUGUGAUCAAUGUUCCUUUAUAAGAAUUAUAUUUCAUUUUCUGUGCUUAUUUUUCUACUAUAUAAAAUGUAUUUAAUUGGUUAGUAUCCAUAAUUUCCUUUUAAGUAUUUUAUUUAUUAUAAUUGAUGUGAUACUUAAGUGUAUAAAUAUUUGAGACAGUAACAAACACAGAGUACAUUGCACCUGUUGUAGAUGUUUGUGCUCACUUGCAUUUCUGUUCAGUACCUGAAAGCAGGUGGCAAACUCUACAUCCAUAGUAUAGACUACUGCCAUAUUACAUUUUCAAAGGAAGUUGGAUAUUUCCUGUACAGCUCAGAUCCAAUGGCAUUUUGUCCUGUUCUGUGAGAGCACUGAGUUUCCAAUACUUCUGAGCUGUUUCUUAAGCAUGUGGCAAAUAUUCUUAGCUCCCCACAGAGUAAGUAAAUGCUGUUUUAACCUUUGGGACAGAAUGUUUGGGGCCAGGAAACUUGAUUUGGCAAAGGAUAGGUAACAUAGAGGUUUGGGAAAAUGUCUUAAGGGAAUUCUAGUGUUCUCUAGCCAUUGCAAACUAAAUUACAGAAGUAGGAAGAAAUUCUAUGCAUCUUUAGAUCACAUGCAUAGAAUUGCCCAAAGUGGAUUAUUUUUAGCAACUUUGAAAUCAUUUUAGUUUAUUCUAAACAAUGUACCAAUUAGUGUAAUUCCCUCAUCUGAGAUCACAUAGUUGGAUUCUUUUUAAAAUAGUAGUUGGCAAUAUCUAGUACUAUCUGUGGAGUUCUAUUGGACUUCUUAGCAUAUGAUGGGAGUGUCGCCAUGGUGCUUACAGUCAUAGGUGACCUCCAUUGAAGUGGUUCCUUUUCAUUCAGCAGCACAUUGGUUUCUGAAGUUUCUGUUUGCUGCUAAUUAUAACCCAUCCCACCCCCGAUGUACCCAAACAUUUCCUUGUGUCAGGACAUCAAAGGGUUAAAUGUAUUUUACAGGAAGUGACUUUAAAAUUUAAACUACAAAUUACCUGGUAUCAUAAUCUUCCUGUGACUUAUUAAAUUAUAUGUGCAUUAUCCAGAGUGGGGGCGGGGGCAUGACGUACAGAAUACUUUGCAUCUAAGAUGCUUCACUGUGGUUUUGGUUAUUGAUGCUUUCUGCUUUCUUUUGACUACUUGACUUACAAAGUGAUCUGAUGCGACCACUCCACUGAAGAGCAGGGUAACUGACUGCUUCCUUCAGGUGGUCACAUUUCUCGUGCUAUUUUCGAAAAUAACAAUCAUGAAUAACAUUCAUUGCAAGACAGCAAGAGAGAUAAUUUAGUAUAUAUAUUGAUUUUUUUAAAUGCUGCCUUAAAUAGGUGUAUAUGAGCAGUAGUAAUUGCUAUGUACUGAUUUACCUCAAGGUGCAAAAUAAUUAAACUUGUACAUACCCAUUUACAGAAUAAGUUCAGAGACACAGCCCUGCACUUUCUAGAUGCCUUGAUUUUCAGAUGGAGCUUAGUGCUACUGAACACCAUGGCCAUGGGGCCACCUCAGGACGUUCUUCCCUCCACCAUAUUUUAUUUAUUUAUAGAUGUGUGUUUACAAAGACUGUAAUGAAGCCUGGUGUUAACUAUCUGAAACUUACUUCCUUUCUCUUGCUAUUUCAAUCUAAAGUAGGAGCCUUUGAGAAAACAGUAAACUAGCUUCCCAAUGCUAAAGGGGUGAUUCUAUAUAUAUUUUUAAUAAUAUUAGAUACGCAAAGUGAAGUACAAAGUCUUUAAAAUAUUGUGUGAGUGUUUGUGUAUGUGUAUGAAAUCACUCUUUAACUCUCUUAACUUUUUUAAAACUCGUGGUGUACCAAUGUUCAGAUUUGCCAAGCUUUCCCUAAGACACGUAGGAUGAAAUGUUUUUGCGUGUUAAUGCAUGUAUUUGUAAAGACUUGUUUACUGCUGAAAAUCACUGACUCUUGUUUCCAUCCCCAAAGUGUUUGUUCCUUUUGCAUACUGGAAGGUUGGAUUGAGCAUAAGCUUUCUGGCUUUCCUUUCACAAAGGCAGGUUCAAAAUUGUGCAGACAGAAGAAUGGCUGCUGGCGGUGAGCUGUGGCAUCAGAACUGCCUGUAGUGUCACCAGUGUGGGCAGUGUCACCAGUGUAGGCAGUGUCACCAGUGUGGGCAGUGCCAGCAUUGUGGGAAGCUCAGCAGCUUCAAGUCUGCGACCUGACCAAGUGCUCAGAGUGGGAUGUGGGAGCCAUUAACAGAGCAUUGUAAUUCAGAUGGUUAUUUAAGUAACUUCCAUGUCUGAAAUUUAUUUAUGUUAUCAUUUGUAGCACAAAUACAUGAACUGUCUUCAUUUAGUCCAACAAUUAUUUAUUUUUAGAAAGUAAAUUGAAAGACAAGCUGCAUUCAACUUUUAAAAUAGUGUUCUAAUCACAAGAUGUGAUCAUUUAAAUUGUAAGGUCUCUUUUAACUUCCUGGAAAGUAGAUUGUCAAAAGGAAUCAUGUAAAGAUUAUUUUAAAAUUUUAACUGUAUGUAGUUAGAGUGUAAACCCCAGCUCUGUGGUCUCUAAUCAUAUUUUUUGCACAUUCAUUGUUUCUGUUCUGUAGCUUUUCUUGUAUUCCUUUAAGAUAUUUGGCAUUGUAGGGGUAAGGUGUCUUCCAGUGUUUACUAUGUUAAGCUUAAAUUAAAAUUUAAAUUUAUUGUCCAUUUAUAUAAUAUUUGAUACUUUGGUGUAACUUCUCAAUACAGUUACAAUUUUUAUGACAUUUAUAAUUGCAAUCGUAUUUUCUUUUGUAAUAAAAUCCAAAGUCAAUUAAACAAAUUGUAGACCUGGUA
This 2948-nucleotide long non-coding RNA is filed under the name Rattus norvegicus (Norway rat). Its description in RNAcentral is "long non-coding RNA NONRATT010756". Lineage: Eukaryota; Metazoa; Chordata; Mammalia; Rodentia; Muridae. The record is from RNAcentral.